UACGGAGGAUCCAAGCGUUAUCCGGAAUCAUUGGGUUUAAAGGGUCCGUAGGCGGAUUUAUAAGUCAGUGGUGAAAUCUUCCAGCUCAACUGGGAAACUGCCAUUGAUACUGUAGGUCUUGAAUUAUUAGGAAGUAACUAGAAUAUGUAGUGUAGCGGUGAAAUGCUUAGAUAUUACAUGGAAUACCAAUUGCGAAGGCAGGUUACUACUAAUAUAUUGACGCUGAUGGACGAAAGCGUGGGUAGCGAACAGG
Molecule: ribosomal RNA, 253 nt
Filed under: uncultured bacterium
Lineage: Bacteria
Description: partial 16S ribosomal RNA
Rfam family: Bacterial small subunit ribosomal RNA
Source: RNAcentral